This 484-nucleotide ribosomal RNA is filed under the name uncultured Flavobacteriaceae bacterium. RNAcentral's name for it is "bacterial SSU rRNA". It matches the Rfam family "Bacterial small subunit ribosomal RNA", at positions 28 to 505 of the family's 1533-position model. The record is from RNAcentral. Lineage: Bacteria; Pseudomonadati; Bacteroidota; Flavobacteriia; Flavobacteriales; Flavobacteriaceae.
GAUGAACGCUAGCGGCAGGCCUAACACAUGCAAGUCGAACGGUAACAGGGAUUGCUUGCAAUCCGCUGACGAGUGGCGCACGGGUGCGUAACGCGUAUACAAUCUACCUUUUACUGGGGGAUAGCCUUUAGAAAUGAAGAAUAAUACCCCAUAGUAAGUAGUUUUCGCAUGUUAACUACUUUAAAGAUUUAUUGGUAAAAGAUGAGUAUGCGUCCUAUUAGCUAGAUGGUGUGGUAACGGCACACCAUGGCAACGAUAGGUAGGGGCCCUGAGAGGGGGAUCCCCCACACUGGUACUGAGACACGGACCAGACUCCUACGGGAGGCAGCAGUGAGGAAUAUUGGACAAUGGAGGCAACUCUGAUCCAGCCAUGCCGCGUGCAGGAAGACUGCCCUAUGGGUUGUAAACUGCUUUUAUACAGGAAGAAACCUCCCUACGUGUAGGGAGCUGACGGUACUGUAAGAAUAAGGAUCGGCUAACUCCG